Molecule: non-coding RNA, 732 nt
Organism: Vicugna pacos (alpaca)
Lineage: Eukaryota; Metazoa; Chordata; Mammalia; Artiodactyla; Camelidae
Source: RefSeq, a predicted model, not a curated record
UGAUACAUGGAUGCACAUGGCAUACCCCAGUCCCAGAAUUCCAGCACAGUGGUCUGUCUUCUACGGUGACUGUAAAUUCUGCAAUAUGAAAUAUUUCAGUGAUUAGAGUGCUGUGUUUCCUGGGAUCUGGCAAAGGCUGAGUAUUCAUUCAGGAAGCGAGCAAACAACUGGUGGAAUCUCUUCACAGUGUCAUGGACAGUUUACUCAUUGUUAAGCAUCCACAAGACCCUCAAACCUGGACAGAACAUGAAAGAACAUUGUUCCUGCUCCAUCUUCUAAAUAAGUCAGAGUACCCCAAGUAAGGAUCAGCAGAACUUUCUACUGCCUGUAGUAGGCAUGACAUUGUCUAAUGAAGGCACAGGGUGCUGCAGACCCAGAUAAAACACAGAGGACAUGACGUAUGCCUGGAGAGAUGCAUCUGGGGGCACAGAAACCCACCGCGGACGUCUUCAUUCUCCAUGUCUGCAUAUCCGAUCACCUAGAAAACGUUUGUGGGCCGCCAGUGUUCAUUUGGUUCAUCCAUAUACCUCAGAUGGAACCAUUGCGGACCCAUGAUAAAUGUGCCUGGUAAUCAAACUUCAAAUUAAGCAGAGAAUAACAUGCUUCCAUGUCUGAGAAAGAUGUUCUAGUAAGUCUUUAAGAUAAGCAAGGAUUUUCAAAGGAAAUAUUUAUGAAAAUAGUUUUCUUUUGAAAGAACCAGUAAAAAAAGCUAACGGGAUUAAUGAGGACCAC